GGGGAUUUAGCUCAGUGGCAUAAGCACCUGCCUUGCAAGCAGGGGGUUGUGAAUUCAAUCCCCG
Molecule: transfer RNA, 64 nt
Filed under: Cavia porcellus (domestic guinea pig)
Lineage: Eukaryota; Metazoa; Chordata; Mammalia; Rodentia; Caviidae
Rfam family: tRNA
About the family: Transfer RNA (tRNA) molecules are approximately 80 nucleotides in length.
Source: Rfam by way of RNAcentral